CAGCCGCCGCGGGAAAACGUAGGGUCCGAGCGUUGUCCGGAAUUAUUGGGCGUAAAGAGCUCGUAGGCGGUUCGUCGCGUCUGCCGUGAAAUCCUCAGGCUCAACCUGAGGCGUGCGGUGGGUACGGGCGGACUAGAGUGCGGUAGGGGAGAAUGGAACUCCUGGUGUAGCGGUGGAAUGCGCAGAUAUCAGGAAGAACACCGAUGGCGAAGGCAGUUCUCUGGGCCGUAACUGACGCUGAGGAGCGAAAGCGUGGGGAGCGAACAGGAUUAGAUACCCCCGUAGUCCCUGUCUCUUAUAC
RNAcentral lists this ribosomal RNA (301 nucleotides) under uncultured bacterium. Its description in RNAcentral is "partial 16S ribosomal RNA". It matches the Rfam family "Bacterial small subunit ribosomal RNA", at positions 509 to 807 of the family's 1533-position model. The record is from RNAcentral.